Molecule: long non-coding RNA, 553 nt
Organism: Microtus oregoni (creeping vole)
Lineage: Eukaryota; Metazoa; Chordata; Mammalia; Rodentia; Cricetidae
Exons: 4
Source: RefSeq, a predicted model, not a curated record
UAUGAGCCCGGCGAAGUUGGAAAGCAGUGUCAGCAGUACCAAAAGCCCAUUCCCUGUCAUUCCUCCGUGACCUGCAGCGUGGGAAAUCGUAUGGUUCAUAUCUGGAUACGGAGGAUACGGCACGGUGACGUGGAAACACGAAAACUCCCUGGACUGUAGUCGCGGCGGGGCGGCCUGGGAAAGUCUGCAUCGCAGUGGCGGGAACCGCAGCCCUGAGGCCCUGGAACCUCCCAGCCAGUGGUGUGACUGUGGACUUCUCCCAGGAGGAGUGCACCAGGACGGACUGGAUGUUGCAGAAUUGCAGCAGUAUGGUUUCUGUAGCUGAGAAUAUUUUGUUUGCAGCCUUCCUUGCUCCUCCUCAGGAUUUCUUGACAAAUUAAUCUGGCUCACUGAUCACCCAGACCUGCUCACCUGUGCAGCAGAACAAAAGGCCUGGAAGGAGAGGAGACAGCAGCUAAGGAUGCAGAAAUAAUUUUGGACACUUCCACUGAGAAAAUCUCUUCAGUUGUUGUAAUGUUGGCAUGAGAAGACUUUCUACAGAAGAAUUGAUAAU